UAUAGGAAGUUGUAAAACCUAUAUUGGGACACGGAAUAUUUACGCAACAUUGGCGCUUAUUUCAUACUUUCAAAACGAAACUGCCACCUAGCGGAAAAUUAACUCACUACAUUAAGGAAGCAUGUCCUAGGACUGGGUCAGAUGCGGCAACAUUAAAAACAAAACAAAGAAAUAAUAAUCAAAUCAUACGCAAUAUCCACCGGUUGGUAGAAAACCAAGUCAAUAUUAUUAGGAUCAUAUGGCCCGUCUGAAAUUCAGUUUAAAAUUAAACAAACAUGCCAACGAAUAAAAAUGCUUCUAACCGAUGAAAAUAGUCAUCAAAAAGGUAUAAGGUUAACUAUUGUUGACCAGUGAUGAUGAACACCUCCAAAUAUUUUGUUUAUAAUAGGAUUGAUUAACGAGGAUUUACUCAUUUCCUUUUGGGCAAACAAAUUAUAAAUGAUUGAAUUGUGUAUUCUAUGUACUUAUGCAAAUAAAUUAAAUUAAUAUAUACUUUUAUAAAUACAAUGUAAA
Long non-coding RNA from Pieris brassicae (large cabbage white), 513 nucleotides. RefSeq lists it as uncharacterized. NCBI's taxonomy places the organism in Eukaryota, Metazoa, Arthropoda, Insecta, Lepidoptera, Pieridae. The transcript is spliced from 4 exons. The record is from RefSeq and is a predicted model, not a curated record.